This 164-nucleotide ribosomal RNA is filed under the name Triodia danthonioides. RNAcentral's name for it is "5.8S ribosomal RNA". It matches the Rfam family "5.8S ribosomal RNA". From Rfam's summary of the family: 5.8S ribosomal RNA (5.8S rRNA) is a component of the large subunit of the eukaryotic ribosome. It is transcribed by RNA polymerase I as part of the 45S precursor that also contains 18S and 28S rRNA. The record is from RNAcentral. Lineage: Eukaryota; Viridiplantae; Streptophyta; Magnoliopsida; Poales; Poaceae.
CUCGGCAACGGAUAUCUCGGCUCUCGCAUCGAUGAAGAACGUAGCAAAAUGCGAUACCUGGUGUGAAUUGCAGAAUCCCGUCAACCAUCAAGUUUUUGAACGCAAGUUGCGCCCGAGGCCUUCUGGUCGAGGGCACGUCUGCCUGGGCGUCACGCCAAAAGACA